CUCCUUUCCUUUUAAUGAGAAUGC
RNAcentral lists this non-coding RNA (24 nucleotides) under Arabidopsis thaliana (thale cress). The record is from RNAcentral. Lineage: Eukaryota; Viridiplantae; Streptophyta; Magnoliopsida; Brassicales; Brassicaceae.